This is a long non-coding RNA of Cornus florida, 8426 nucleotides long. RefSeq lists it as uncharacterized. The transcript is spliced from 2 exons. NCBI's taxonomy places the organism in Eukaryota, Viridiplantae, Streptophyta, Magnoliopsida, Cornales, Cornaceae. The record is from RefSeq and is a predicted model, not a curated record.
GCCGCCUGGACAGUGGUUGGCCUAUCCAUUAUAUAAUGAUUGUUGCUCAUUUGGGCUUUCAAUGGCUUGCGUUGCGUUUAAUUGUUUGCUCUGGUUGGGCUUGUGUUCUGGAUUUCCUCCGGGUUUGGCUAUUUUGGCCCACUCUACUUGUUGUGGCCCACUAUAUAUAUUGCUUAACCUUAAAAAAAAAAAAAAAAAAAAAAGAGGAAAAAUCUUACCACUUCGCGGUGUUCCAAUCGAAGGAAACCCUAGCACGACAGAAAUUUCCCCUUCUAUAAAUAGUCCUAAACUCCAAGACCUGGAAUUACCAUCCGAAAGACGAUGUGUGUACUGUUCAAUUCGAACCAGCUCAAUCUUUCUCACCGCAUACUCUUCAUGGAGAAUCUCUCUCCAUCAGAAGCAAUCUUCAAGCCUUAACCCUAAUCCAGCUUUCAGGUCAGGGGACUCAUAGCAAUAUAGCAGGAUUAAUUUACUGUUUUAAAUUGUGUCAUUCUUUGCACUUCUCUAAUUUGUAUUUUUAUGUUACUUUAAAAUUUAGAUUCCAUCGAGCUCAUACAAUUUUACAAACCAUUGAAUAUUUUUUACUUGACCUAGACCAAUACCAUGCUUGAUCUCAUUAUGGUGUUGGUCGUCCAAAUGGGUUUCCUAUUUCUUAUUUUAUUUUUUACUGCAUUACUGGCAACACAUCAAUUGCACAUUUGAUCUUUGGGUGCUUCAGUUGUUUUCAAACUGGAAGGAUUCAUAAUUUUACUACUUAAUGGCUGAUGCUGUCUUCCAGCCAAUUCCUUGUGAAAAUUGAAUGUUUUCUUGUGAAGUUGUUCUUAGGAUACUUGUAGAAGUUAUGUGCUACUUCAAUUAAUGUUUAUUAGUGUUACUUCUUCAUUUGAAAGUCAAGUGGCUUCUUUAGUCAAUAUUUCUUUUGGACAGCGCUGGGGCAUUUUAAGAUUGUUUGGAAAGAUACCGGUAUAGCUAUGUAAAUGAUUGAAAAUAUGGUGUUGGAAUGAUAUGGUCUCCUAAAUUCAUUUUGAUAAACUAAGGAUCAUGAAGAUAAUGUGAAUAAUGUGAAUAGGGAGUUGCCGAUAAUCAUUUCAAAAGUUGUGGGUUAAACUAAUUAUACAAUUUACAUUAUUGCUUGAAUCAAAUUGGAUAUAAUAUACAGAAUCUGCCAUAGGAACAUUGAGAAUGAGAUAAGCACAACACAAACGCUGAUUGAGUUCUAUGCCAUUUGUCAAUGCAUUUCUUUGCAAAUGCUCAUGUUUUCCUUCCUUACCCAAUUAUUUACAUCAUUUUAAAUGUAUUAUACACAUUGCUGAAUUUUUUAAUAGUUGAGAUUUUACUUUGAUCUCUUUUCACCAUUUGUCUACCUAUCUCUUUGGUUUAUUGCUAGACUACCAUGAAUUUACAUUUUUGCCGACAAGUUAAUGUAAGCUUCAUAUAUUAAAAUUUGGAGAGGAGGAUUAAUAUGGAAAGUUGGUUGCUGUGAUGAAUAUAAAACUUGUUGAAAGUUUACUAUUGCUUGAUGAAAUAUCGACAAUUAUGUCGAACCUGAGCGGUUACCUGAGCAACCUAGUGUCACAUUUACUCUUGUAUUCCUUUUACUCCUCUUUCAGUUUGUACAAAUUACAAUUGGUUGCUAUGAUGAAGAAAUAAUACCUGUUGAAAGUUUACAAUUGCUUGAUGAAAUAUCGACAAUUAUGUUGAUCCUGAGCGGUUACCUGAGCAACUUAGUGUCACAGUCACUCUUGUAUUUGUUUAUUCCUCUUUGAAUAUGGAAAAAUUACAAUUGGUUGCUAUGAUGAAGAAAUAAAAGUUGUUGAAAGUUUGCAUUUGCUUGAUGAAAUAUCGACAAUUUAGUCGAUCCUGAGCGGUUACCUGAGCAACUUAAUGUUACAAUUAUUCUUGUACUUUAGUCCUCUUUAAAUAUUAUGUUUCUCUAUUUUCUUUAUAUGGCAGUUUCAUAUUUCUCCUCCCAAAAAAGUAAUUUCGUGCUCUAUCCUUUUGUUCUUUUUGCACUUCUAGAGGCAAGUAUUCUAGUUGAUUAAAUAAUAAGUUAAUGGUUACUAGCAUGAAUUUAUGUAAUUUUCAUUCUUAGUUUUUCUAUCUAUAUAUAUCCAAAUUCUUAUUGCUUUUAUUUUUGGAAGUUAUAUAUUUGAAGUUUAUUUGUCAUAAUAGCCUUGUCUCCUUAAUGAUGUUUACUUACACAUCUGUAGGCUACUUUGUGCGAUUGAGGUAUUGAUUUUGCGAACUCCCCUCCCCUCUUCUCUUAUUUAUUAGUUCUUGUUUUUUGGUUUGCUUAUAUUGAAUUUUUAUCGGCUUUCUCUUUCAUACUAUUGUAUUUUAAUGAUAGAUUUUAUAAUUUAAGAGGAACAUAUUGUCUUAUAUGCAAAUGGUUUGCCAGGAUGAAUACUAGAAACUUGAGAGUUUUGAUGUACAUGCUCGAGGACAUGUCAACAUUUAUGUCGACCUGAGUUGUUUAAUUGUGUUACAUAUUUUUUUUCUAGUUUUAGUUUCUUUUGACAUCUUUUGCGUGUGUGUGUGUUUUUUUUAUUUUUUAUUUUUUAUUUUUAUUUCUCCCAUUUCCCAUUUCCUAUUUCCCAGAGUCUGUUUGUUCUCUGUCUCCUCCUAAAUUCCUGAUAUCAUGUAUUCUUACCAUUAUCUUAUUCAUGUAUCCGAAGUAUAUCUUUGGACUUCUCUCAUAUGAAAUGGGGUCUAUUUGUAAAUAAUGAAUGUGGAAAACUUAUUCUAAAUUUCUAGUAAAUAUUUGAGGAAAGCUGAUCCAGGGAUUGAUAGAUAUACACUUUAGUUUACAACUCAGUUUUUGUAAAUACAUUUUUGUGUUAUAAUAGUCCGGUUAGUUUGUAUAGAUUUUUUAAAAAUUUCCCGUGGAUAUAUAUCACUAUUUUUGGGUUUUAGAAUAAUAUGAAUUAUUUCUUGGAAAUGUAGUCAUUUUUGUCAUUUGGUUGCCAAUGAUGGGUUUAAAUAUGCUAUGAAUAUUCAUAAUGAAAAGAACUUACUCUGAGGUACCCCUUUUUUAUUUUUUUAAAAAUUUCCUUUGGAUAUGUAUAACUAAUUUUGGGUUUUAGAAUAAUAUGAAUUAUUUCUUGGAAAAAGUCAUUUUUGUCAUUUGGGUGCCAAUAAUGGGUUAAAUGAAUAUCCAUAAUGAAAAGAACUUACUUUGAGGUACCCUUUUUGGAUCAAUAAAUUUUUAUUUUAUAUAUAGUAUUAUAGUUGUUUACUUAUGAAGAAGGAUUUCAUGCUAUUUAACCUUUUUUUUUUCAAGGUAGUUUAUAGGUCUUCUUAGAAGACUGCAAAUUGUGUUUAUUUAGAUAUUAGGUUGUGCAAGUGACGACAAAAUAGACAGGGACAUCAGCAUUCCCCAUUGGAGUAUGAUGAUUUGUCUUCGGGAAUCUCUCUGAUGCACAAUCAUUAUCAGACUUGGUAGAAUGUUUUUAAUGUUAUUUUUGUUUUCUGCUUCAUUUAUUAUUCUUUGUUUCUGUAUAUCUUGGGACUAACAAGAUAAACUUAAUCUGAUUUUUUUGCUACUAACAAUAUGAUUCUGUAGUAUAAACUAGUUUCUGAAUCCAUUUUCCACCAUUCUGAUUUUUUUGCUUGAGUUGAUACCAAAUCUUUCAGCAUCUCUCACCCCGAGUUUACUCCGUUGCAUCUCUCACCCCGGGAUUGAUGGAUAUACACUUUAGUUUACAACUAAGUUUUUGUAAAUACAUUUUUGUGUUAUAAUAGUCUGGUUAGUUUGUAUAGAUUUUCUUUUGGAUUGUUUUUGACAAGGGCUUUUGUGAUCAUGAGGCUUAAUAGUGAUUAUUUGCUCAUUGCUAUUGUGGCAAAUUGGAAGUUAUCUGAAAAUAUAUUUAAUUUUUUGUCUACCUGAUUUUGACGAAAGCUGUCACUAAACUCAAAUCAAUUUUCUGACAGUAUUUUCCAUAUUCAACCACUUACAUCAUUGAAGUCCCCUUUUAGCGGUGUAUGUUAGUAUAAUUAAUUUAGAUCAUUGAAAUGUUUUACCAAUAUGCAUGAUGCAUACUUUUUUUAUUACGUGUGAUUCAGUAAUCAUUGCAGGAGUUUGUCUCCAGUUUAUCAAUUUCUUGUUUCACUAAGUCUUGCUAUGCACCUCUAUUUGUCUUAAAGUUAUGGAUUAGGACACUAGCGUAGUCAGCUUUGCUUUGUGUUCCGGUUGCUGUCAUUUCUUGGUUUGCCUAUGAUGUAUUUAUCUGCACGUAUUAUCAGACAUACUAAUGAUGAUAUGUGAUUGUCACUACCUCUGAGGCAAAACCUUCACUAAUUGAGAUCUUAACUAGUAUGUAUAUUGGUUCCUCAGUUAGUGUUACACAAUAAUUAGGUUUAUGAUAUUGUCAAAAGCUUACUGAAUUAUAGUUGAGAAUAAGUUCCAUUUAAGUUUUGAUCUAUUGUUAUAUUUCCUUUAAACUAUUGUGUUAGUUAUUUGUUAUUCCCCAAGCAUAAUAAAUGGCAAAUGAUGAUCUCCUUGAUUUGGGUAUGAUGUGUCUAAAUGCUUGUAUAAUCAGAUAUGGAGAGGAUGACUACUGAUUGUCACCUCAUCUGAGGCAAAACCAGCCAUGCUUUAAGCCUUUGACUUUGACUAUGGUUUAUACUUUAUUCCUCUCUCUCUCUCUCUCUCUCUCUCUCUCUCUCUCUCUAUUUUUUGUUAGGUAUGGUCUCUAGUUACUUAUUCAAUAGCUUUGCUUAAUGCAUACCCUUGAAAUAAGCUAUCACUGUCAUUAGGGGCUUAUGAUAUGUAAUUUACUAAAGCAUGCUAGCUAAAUAUCAUAGGGUAUUAGAUGCUAAUGGAAGUGGUACCUGAUUAUUUUUUCAGGUAUUAAGGUAUUUAGUGGGGAAAAAUAUAGACAAUUAUUUUCAAUGUUCACAUAUUGUCACUUCCAGGGCUUGUUAUAAGUUGCAUGUUGUUUCUUGAAAAGCCUAAUGAUUGAUACAAAAGAACGGAGAUUUGAAUGGUGCUCUUUGUAGUAGCCUGACCAAAAAUUGGGCUCCAAUAGCAUCUCAUGUGAUGGACAACUACUAGUUGGAAAAUGAAGGCUUAUAUUCCAGUUUUCAACUAGAUUUUUUUAAUUUUUGUUGAAUGUUGGCAGUUUUUUAAUGUUCCAAUUCCCUUUUAACAAGUCUGUUAGAAGCAUGUGUGCAUUAUACAUUGUUAAUCAUUUCCUGAUGCAUGGCAAAAGUUUUAAUUGACUAGUUAGAGGGCAUGAUUAUACAUGUUAAUCAUUGCCUGUUGGCAGUUUCUUUUAAUGUCCCAAUUCUUCCUUUACAAGUUAGGGGACAUGAUUAUACAUAUUAACCAUUGACUGUUCAAAGAUUUUUAAUGUACAAUUCAUUCUUUACAAGUUAGGGGUGAUGGUUAUACAUGAUUAUACGUGUUUUUGCAUUACGGUUGUGAACAUGUUUAUUAUUGCCCGAUGAAUGCCAAAAGUUUGAUUUGACUGGUUAGAGGACAUGAGUUCGAGUACAGAAAGACAUUGUGUCUUAUCCUCCAGCACUGCACGUAGGUGAGGAAUACUUGUGAUUGCCAAUAUUUAAAUGUUAAACAUGUUGGUCUGUUGCUGUGGGAUAUUUUGGCCAAUAACAAGAUUUGAUCUAAUGCUCCUUGUUAGUUUCUGUGCUGCAGUGUCUUAGAAGAAGAUUAGGACCGUUGGAUUUGCUUUUGUGCAUGUUCUUUUUGUAAUAUGUUUAUAAACUGCUCAAGGGUUCAUUUGGCAGCCAAGCUUGCUGAAAUUCAAAGUUCAUUAAACGAACAUCUAUUUUCAAUUUUUUUUGCUCCUCCAAAAAAUAAUCUACAUAAAAUCCCCUGAUGUUGCAAAGUGAUUUUAUAUUGACAAAAAUGUCCUUAAUAUAAAUUUUAAAAAAUUUAGAUUUUUUAUUUUGUUUUUAAUUUUUUAAAAUUAGAACUUAAAAAAGUGUACGCUGAUUAUGGGAUAUUAUGUGACAAAUACCUCUUAAUAUAAAUUUGAGAAAAUUUAGAUUUUUUAUUUAAUUGAUUUUUAUUUUAGGUUUUCUCUGUGUUAAAGAUGUCAUUUUCAAUAUAAAUUCGUGUACUUUUGGUUAUUUGAAAAAAAAGUUAAUUCACUUACUAUGAUUAUUCGUAUUUUUAUAAAGUUUAAAAGCUCACUCACUGUUUUUCAAUUUUAUUGAAAAAUAAAGUUUGGAGAAAUUGGAUAAUGGAUGGGAAUAUUGAAUAGAGAGGGUUAAGCUUUAACAAAUAUGAAAAAAUGGACAGUUAAAAGUUACUCACUACUACGGUUAUAUCCUUUUCUUUUCCUUAAAUAUGAUAUUAACAUGACUAAGGAAAUAAUCUCACUCUUUCUUAUUGAUCUUACGUAAUGGAUCUUUUAUUUUUAUUUAACUACCCAGUUUUUAUAUAAUUGUUAAAGAAAAAGAAAAAAGAAAGACUAAUAUUACAAUUAUGAUAUUGGUUUGAUAGAAUUUGAUUUAAUUGAAAAUUCAGAAUACAAAUUUGUUUUGAUUUCAAAAGCAAAUAAAUAAAUAAAAUAAAAUAAAAUAAACUAGUACAUGUACUACAAGAAUUUAGCAUUUGCCCAAAUUCGUAAGUAUGGUCUGAUCAAUUGAAAGAGUUUUCGUUUCCAUUGAUAUAUAAUGAAAAAUGAUAAUAUAUACAUAUAUUAUUGGCACCAAAGUUUUCUAAUUUUUUUUUUAAAAAUAUGCCAUGUAUAAUUAUUACACACACUCUCUUCCUUUUUCUUUUACAUUUUUUUUUUCUUUUCAAAUUUGACGUAACUUAAAAUCUUGCUCCAUACAAUUUAAAUCCCAACAGAUGAGUAAAAUUCUUGUGCUUACUGUUAAAUAUAGAAUCCUAUUGAAUCUAGAAUAAUUUAUUUUUUAUAUUUAUAUCAAUUAAUCUAAUAAUUUUCUCUAAAAUAAAAAUUGAAUAAUCUCAUUUAAAAAAAUAGUUGUAAAAAUUAUCACAUAAUAUUAAUUCAAUUGACAUAAUAAAAAUAUCAAUAUUUUAAUUACCAAUCUGAAUUUUAAUAUAAAAAAAUGUCCGUCUCUAAAACGUUUUUGGUCUUUUCAACAAUUUUAAAUAAUAACCUAAAAUAAUUUCAUGAGAUAUUGAAAAGACAGCCUCUACAAACUUUUGUUUUAUUUUUUAUUUUUAAAGGAGCCUAUGUAGUUUUCAAUAACAAAUAAAUUUUUUUUUUCUUUUUGAAAAAAAUAAAAGGAGAUCCAAUGCUGAUACUUCGUGUAUUUAAUACCGUUUCGAACAAUAACUGAGAUAUUUGAAAUAUAAGGGGGAAAAAAAAAAUGAGGAUGGCGUCAUAAACAAGCAAUCUCCAACCUAUAUAUCUAUAUAAAGACGCACCUGACCCGAUAUACGAAAUAUAACGUACUGGUUAGGGUUUCUGCUUCUCGUUCUUUGAGGGCUCGAUCAGAAAUAGGUCUUGAGGCCGCGGUUGGGUCUGGAAGCUUUACCAAUAUGUAUCCUUUUCGCAGUUGGGGUUUCUUUCAAGAGGGUCCGAUAGGGUCUCGAGGCUGCGAUUCAAACAAGGGUAUGAGGGUUAGGGUUUUAUCGUCCUCUAUUCGAGGGCUAAUCAGUGAUCAGACUUGGGUCUUGAAGGUGCGAUUCAAACCCGCGUUUGAGGGUUAGGGUUUUCUCGUCCAAUAUUCGUUCUUGAGGGGUCGAUAUUCAAACAAGGGUCUUGAGGGUUAGGGUUAGAUUCAGAAAAUGGUUUUUUGGGUUCGACUGAAACAAGGGUCUUGAGGGUUGGGGCUCGAUCCAGAUGAUGGUGUUGUGGUGUUGGAUCCGGUUGAUGGUUUUGUGGGGCUCAAUACUGAGGGUUCUGCGGGCAUCUUUUGGGUAAAAAUUCGUAAAUCAACUUUAUUUAACUGAUUUAUUUACCAUUUAUUAGUCUAACUUCUACUCUAAUUUUUUAAUUGAUAACUGAAAAUUGUAUCAAAACUAGAUAUAGAAGGAUAGAAAUUGAUUGAUUAUUAAGAUAUAUAAAGAUCAAUACAUUAUUUUAAUAAUUUUUUUUAUAAGUAUUAAUCAUUUUAAGUACUCUUUACAUGUAUGUAUGUUAAUCAUAUGUCAUUUUCCUAUAUUAUUGUGCUUGUGCUGAAUUUGUAUUUCAUCUCUAUUUUAAUGGUCUAAUGUUUUUAUUUUAUUUUUAUAAUUUUGUAUUGUAUUGGUAAUUACCCCACCUUCCCUGAAGCGUAACAUAAUUACACCGGCUUCUCCAGUUGAUUAGAAACUUACUUGGUUCUCCCCUAUUGUUGUUACUGAAGCUCUCACCUAUAUUAGCAGAAUGCGCUUGACAAUUUCCAAAUGGGAAUGCUAGUGUCCAGUGUAGUAUGUUUUAGUCAAAGAGGGAAGUCUAUGUAAUUAUGUUAUUCCUGAAAGAAGCCAAUGUAAUUUAUUUAUUUUA